Molecule: long non-coding RNA, 809 nt
Filed under: Lynx pardinus (Iberian lynx)
Lineage: Eukaryota; Metazoa; Chordata; Mammalia; Carnivora; Felidae
Source: RNAcentral
GGGCUUCAAAUCAAGUUUAAUAAAUAAAACAGCAAGGGAUUCAAGGCAGUUAUCACUUCACAGUGUGGUCCUUGGUGGGGUGAGGGAAGGUCGAGGCCAACUCUGCAGACGGGCUCGAGCCAAAACCCUCUCCUGGUGACACCCGGGGGUUGGGGAGCACUGCCCUGGCCCCAUGGAGGACCCCACUCCAAUUUGUAAACAGAAACAUAAAUAAAAUGAGGAAAGCUGGGAAAGAGAAGGACCGGGCCCCCAAACCAUCUUGCUGGGGAGCUUCAACAGAAAUAUGACCCACGGGGUCAGGGGAACGGACUGGAGCCAGCCCCCUCGGUGCCUUGGUACCAAGGGGGCGGGGGGGCGGGGGGUCACCUGUCCCCUCGACCCCACCCCCGAGGCUACUCCUGGCUGGAGAGAGGGGGUAGGCAGGUGUGGGGUAAAGUGCGGCUUUUCCUGACGAGGAGAGCAGGGUGGAGGUCGAGGGUGGGCGGGGCCGACAUCGAGGUAUAUGGCUCUGUGCCCCAAGGGGUUUGGCACCGAGUAGCAGCUGCCCACGACCCCCGAGCUGGGGCAGCCUGAGGCCCUGCCAGGUGCAGGGAGACAGAGCCAAGCGGAGGGCCGAGGGCGCCCCGGGCGGAGGCUGCUGGUGGGGCAGCAUCCCGCCCCAUCUCCCACCUCCCCGAUGGGGCAGGGACACCUUCCUCUGCUGGCUAGACGGGGCCGGGCCCUCUGCAUCCAGCUGCCUGGCGGGUCCUGCGGUGGGGGCAGCGGCCUGGACAGCACGAACAGUGGUGCUGGGCACUGAGAGCGCCAGU